Panicum virgatum (switchgrass) is the source of this 1832-nucleotide RNA transcript. It is a transcript of the gene named probable tRNA N6-adenosine threonylcarbamoyltransferase, with no coding region annotated. The record is from RefSeq and is a predicted model, not a curated record. Lineage: Eukaryota; Viridiplantae; Streptophyta; Magnoliopsida; Poales; Poaceae. The transcript is spliced from 5 exons.
CGUCGUCCUGCACAAACCCCCAAAACCCUACCGCCGCCGCCGCCGCCACCAUGUCCUCGGCGCCGUCUCCGGCGAGCCGCCGGCCCCUGGGCCCGCUGGCGCUGGGGCUGGAGUCCUCGGCCAACAAGAUCGGCAUCGGCGUGGUCUCCCUCUCUGGCGAGAUCCUCUCCAACCCGCGCCACACCUACGUGACCCCGCCGGGCCACGGCUUCCUUCCCCGCGAGACCGCGCAGCACCACCUGGUGCACCUCCUCCCGCUCCUCCGCGCCGCGCUCGCCGACGCCGGCGUCGCCCCCGCCGACCUCGCCUGCGUCUGCUACACUAAAGGCCCCGGCAUGGGCGGCCCGCUCCAGGUGGCCGCCGCGGCCGCCCGCGCGCUCUCCCUCCUCUGGAGGAAGCCGCUCGUGGCGGUCAACCACUGCGUCGCGCACAUCGAGAUGGGGCGCGCGGUCACGGGGGCCGUGGACCCCGUCGUGCUCUACGUCUCCGGGGGGAACACGCAGGUCAUCGCCUACAGCGAAGGGAGGUACAGGAUCUUCGGAGAGACUAUCGAUAUCGCAGUUGGGAACUGCCUCGACCGCUUUGCCAGGGUCCUUGAGCUCUCCAAUGACCCUAACCCAGGGUAUAACAUCGAGCAGCUUGCAAAGAAGGGGGAAAAAUUCAUUGAUCUCCCAUAUGUUGUAAAGGGUAUGGAUGUGUCAUUUAGUGGCAUAUUGAGCUUUAUUGAAGCUGCAGCGAUCGAAAAGCUUAAAAAUAAUGAGUGCACACCAGCGGACCUAUGCUACUCACUGCAGGAAACUGUCUUUGCCAUGCUUGUUGAAAUUACUGAACGUGCCAUGGCACAUUGUGAUUCAAAGGACGUUCUUAUUGUUGGUGGUGUUGGUUGCAAUGAACGUUUACAAGAGAUGAUGAGGAUUAUGUGCUCAGAAAGAGGGGGUAGGCUGUUCGCAACUGAUGACCGCUAUUGUAUAGACAAUGGGGCAAUGAUUGCAUACACUGGUUUACUGGCGUAUGCACAUGGUGUGACCACUCCCCUGGAGGAGUCAACAUUUACACAAAGAUUCCGAACUGAUGAGGUCCAAGCGAUUUGGAGGGAGAAGGAGAUGCCUGUGUUGAGUAAUAUCCAUGCAGAUGCAAUGGCUGAAGUAUCCAAGGAUGAAGCCUCUAUGCCAACUCCAAUCAUUGUAGAUUCCUGAGGUAGUAAAUGCUUAAACAGGAGAGUGUAGGAGCAUGCAUGCAUGAGAUGCCUUUGCUUGCUGGUUUGGAGGAAGCCUCGAGGCUCAUGGCCGGCGACUAGUACUACCGCGUGGUAGUAUGAGCCUCUCAGUUGCAAAGCAUUUACAGCAAGAUACUGAUCUGCAACCUGGUAAAAUGAAUGUGUUGUGCUCCUAUGCCACAUUCGCACGUGCCAAUAGCUGACAGUGAUCAAACUCAGCAAUAUUCUGGCGGUGACCUUUUUACCUCCCAUUACGUUAUGCAGCUCAUGGUAUGCUGGUUGCUGGACGUGCCUCUUGAUGCCCAACUGAUUGUGUAUGGCAAAUUGGCAAGUGGGUCCUGGUCCUGGUAUGCGUGGUGGCCACGCCCCCCGGAUUCUGCUUGUAUGCUGGAUUUUUUUUCAACCUGGUAUGCCAACGUGGUGGUCACCAGGUUGCUUUUAUGCAACCUGUGAUGGAUUUUUUUUGUUCAUUAUGCUGUGAAGUCUAACAGAUGUCUUGUAAGUCUUCGGGUGUGUUUAGUUUGCGAAAAAGUUUGUGUUUUAGUAUUGUAGCAUAUUUUGUUGUUAUUGUUUAAUCAUGGACUAAUUAGCUUUAAAAGAUUCAUCUCGUAUGAAA